UUCCCCUGGCAAUGGCCAAAGAGACAUCUCCUUGGUGGUGGUGUUCUUCUAUCACUCAGGGGCAAAGCAUAGGGUAGUCCUUUGCUCAUCCUACCGUGACACCCAAUUUAGAGGACAAAGCUGCCUUAUGCCUAGUUCUCAUAA
Molecule: small nucleolar RNA, 144 nt
Organism: Arvicanthis niloticus (Nile rat)
Lineage: Eukaryota; Metazoa; Chordata; Mammalia; Rodentia; Muridae
Product: small nucleolar RNA SNORA48
Source: RefSeq, a predicted model, not a curated record